RNAcentral lists this long non-coding RNA (1362 nucleotides) under Homo sapiens (human). Its description in RNAcentral is "HSALNT0053443". Lineage: Eukaryota; Metazoa; Chordata; Mammalia; Primates; Hominidae. The record is from RNAcentral.
GUGACAUCUCAGAGGAGGUUGAAUUUCACAAGGAUCUUAAAAGAUAAACAAGAGUUUGUCAAAGCAAAAAGGAAAUGAAGAGUUGCAGCAGUUACUGUGGAGUUACUACCCAUAUCUGUUGGACUCACCAUCCAGGACAUUUCACAGCUGCCUACUGCAUGCACGUAUGACUCUCAGCCUGAGGUUUGCUUUCUAAAGUGAGCUGGGCAUGCAGCAAGGGCUGAAGAGAUAAAGCUCUGGGAGGAGCCCUCAGCCAGUGGUGGGUAGGAGUUGGAGGAUAAAUGCCCUAAUUUCUUUGCCCCUCAAGUGGAACAACUUAGAGCCCUAGCAGUGUUUCCUGAGAUCACCUCCCAAACAAUUGCAUCUGGAAUCCUUCACUCAUGUCUACUUCUGGGAGAAGCAUCUAAGACAGUCAUGGUCCAUAAAACAGCAGCAACAUGAACAAAGACACAGGGCUCAACUGUACCAGGCAAAUGAAGGGAGAUGGAGAGAUUGAAGCAAGAGCUAAAACUAUCCACCAGACUGCAGUCCAUUGUGAGUAGGUUGAGAGGAAAUUGAGCUGCCAAGACAUAUGAAACUCCUGGUGGAGAUUUGGAGGAAGAUGAAUGGUACUUAAGUAACAAGAAGACCGUGAAAUCAAACCAUUAAAAGACAAUUUCAAGACUAGUCACUUCCCUCACCUUCUAUUCACUGUGAUAAAGCCCCCAAAAGUCAUUGGAUGCUUCCUUUGAUGUUGCUUCAGCUGGUGUGUUGACUUUGUUAGCACUCUCUAUUGGGCAUAGAGGUGCUCCUUACAAAUGCUCUCUAGGAGUAAAUGGGCAUGAGGAGGCUCCAUCACCUUCUUCCUAUUUUCUCUGUUGUUUUCCAGCCUUGGGGACAAAGCUGGGAUUCUUAGGGCCGAAGUCAUCAAGGUUGCCUGCAGGUGUGCCUAGAAGAGAUAUGGUUUCAGCAAGCCUUCUUCUCUCUGAUUUCUAAAAGGUUUUUUCAUCUAAUCUGAGGUCCCUGUCACUUUCUACCCUACCUCAUCCCAGAAUUGAGGUCAGAAUGGACUUGUGUGGGAUUUUGGCCCAUGUAGCAGUGUGCCUUUAAAUCUGGUGCUGGCAGUGGUAGCGGUGAUGGUGGGUGUCACCUAGGAUGGCAUAAAUUUCUCCUUCUGUGCCCAAAGCCCACCUUUCCAUUCUUUAGUUUUUAGUUUAAAAUUUAACUCUAAUCAUACAAAUUACAGGAAAGUACAUUCUUCUUGUGAGAAGUUAAAUCAAAACACAACUGAUAAAGUUAAAGACCUCUUUGACCAACAGUUCUUACCCCCUGGCAGCCCCAGAGGUAACACCUACUGCAGGGAAGGUGUGUAUUCCUCCAGUU